UGGACGCCAGUCUGCGUGGAGCCAACCUUGAAAUACCACCCUUUAAUGUUUGAUGUUCUAACGUGGACCCGUAAUCCGGGUUGCGGACAGUGUCUGGUGGGUAGUUUGACUGGGGCGGUCUCCUCCCAAAGCGUAACGGAGGAGCACGAAGGUUAGCUAAUCCUGGUCGGACAUCAGGAGGUUAGUGCAAAGGCAUAAGCUAGCUUGACUGCGAGAGUGACAGCUCGAGCAGGUGCGAAAGCAGGUCUUAGUGAUCCGGUGGUUCUGAAUGGAAGGGCCAUCGCUCAACGGAUAAAAGGUACUCCGGGGAUAACAGGCUGAUACCGCCCAAGAGUUCAUAUCGACGGCGGUGUUUGGCACCUCGAUGUCGGCUCAUCACAUCCUGGGGCUGAAGUAGGUCCCAAGGGUAUGGCUGUUCGCCAUUUAAAGUGGUACGCGAGCUGGGUUUAGAACGUCGUGAGACAGUUCGGUCCCUAUCUGCCGUGGGCGUUGGAAGAUUGAGAGGGGUUGCUCCUAGUACGAGAGGACCGGAGUGAACGCA
This 541-nucleotide ribosomal RNA is filed under the name Pectobacterium odoriferum. RNAcentral's name for it is "bacterial LSU rRNA". It matches the Rfam family "Bacterial large subunit ribosomal RNA", at positions 2165 to 2705 of the family's 2925-position model. The record is from RNAcentral. Lineage: Bacteria; Pseudomonadati; Pseudomonadota; Gammaproteobacteria; Enterobacterales; Pectobacteriaceae.